This is a long non-coding RNA of Myotis myotis, 1211 nucleotides long. RefSeq lists it as uncharacterized. Lineage: Eukaryota; Metazoa; Chordata; Mammalia; Chiroptera; Vespertilionidae. The transcript has 3 exons. The record is from RefSeq and is a predicted model, not a curated record.
CACAUCUGCGGGUGUUGUUUGUGUCUGGGCCUCUGCCUCACCGGGACCUGCGUUAGCUCUCUGGGUCUCUAUGAUUGUGGCUGUACCAGCACCUGACUCUGGUGAGAAUCAAAUCAGAUGAACUGUUAUGAUGCCUAAGGAUACCUAACAUUUGGACAAUGGCAACUUGCCCACAUCAUCUCACUUACUCCAGAAAUCCUAUGAGAAAACAAAUUGUUGCCAAUCCUAAUGGAGUAAGUUCUGCUUUCUGGGCUGAUGAAAAUAUUGUCAUUGGACUGCCAUCAAAUCGCAAAGUGAUGCAGACAACAUUUGAGGACGUGUGCUUUAAAGAACCUGACCACAUGUUAGCUCAUUUUAUAAUCAGCAUAAUAUUUUUAAUAAAUAUGUUUUUAUUGAUUUGAGAGAGAGAGAAAGGGAGAAGGAGAGAGACAGAAAGAAACAUCAAUGUGAGAGAGAAACAUCGAUCCAUGGUUCCCCGUACGCUCCUGACCAGGAAUCGAACAACUGGACAUCGCUGGUAUGUGCCCUUAUUGGGAAUCGAACCGGAGACCUUUCCGUGCACAGGACGACACUCAACCACCUGAGCCACACCAGCCAGGGCUAGUUACCAUAAUCUUAUGAAGAAGGUUUUUUGAUUAUCUUUAUAUGUAUAUGAGAAAAUUGACUCAAGGUCAUCCAUAUCAGUUUGAAGCCAAGGACGUUUCCAAGACCCCCUACUGCCCCCCUGUGGCAGCCUUAUGCCUUGCUCAGUAAAUAGCAGCUACUGAGAAAGACAGUGCCUCCGAUGUAUUUUGCCUCCAAAACCCAAAGAUGUGCUUCUUUCACUGUGAUCAGAGAUGCCAGAUGCAACAACUAUCUUUUACUUGGAGGGGAUGUGCCAAUGUGCACCUUAGAGGGGAUAUUUUAAUGUGUUAGAGACUAAUGGAAGGAAGAAAUUUUACUAAGGUGGUAGAUAUCUUAAUUUUUGAGGGGUUUAUUUCAUAAACCCACUUGUACAUGUUUACAAUUCUAAAUUUCUAUCACAAUUCUCAAAUUCCAAGUCUUUCUCUAUCAACUCUGUAACUUUAAUUAUAUGAUAAGCCAGGGUAUGAAUUCAAUUUGUAUGUAAUUUGGUUAACCACGGGAACAGGCUUCGAGUUUGGUUUUCAGAAAUCCAGACUUUGUGCUACACAAAAUAAGGGAUUUCCUCUGGGCAGUCGUGUUUUCUAACU